GUGGGGAAUAUUGCGCAAUGGGCGAAAGCCUGACGCAGCGACGCCGCGUGAGGGAUGAAGGUUUUCGGAUCGUAAACCUCUGUCAGAAGGGAAGAAACUACAUUGUGCUAAUCAGCAGUGUACUGACGGUACCUUCAAAGGACGCACCGGCUAACUCCGUGCCAGCAGCCGCGGUAAUACGGCGGGUGCAAGCGUUAAUCGGAAUUACUGGGCGUAAAGCGCACGUAGGCUGUAGUGUAAGUCAGGGGUGAAAUCCCACGGCUCAACCGUGGAACUGCCUUUGAUGCUGAACAACUUGAAUCCGGGAGAGGGUGGCGGAAGUCCAGGUGUAGGAGUGAAAUCCGUAGAUAUCUGGAGGAACAUCAGUGGCGAAGGCGGCCACCUGGACCGGUAUUGACGCUGAGGUGCGAAAGCGUGGGGAGCAAACAGGAUUAGAAACCCUUGUAGUCC
RNAcentral lists this ribosomal RNA (450 nucleotides) under uncultured bacterium. RNAcentral describes it as "partial 16S ribosomal RNA". It matches the Rfam family "Bacterial small subunit ribosomal RNA", at positions 354 to 796 of the family's 1533-position model. The record is from RNAcentral.